GCAUAUCAAUAAGCGGAGGAAAAGAAACCAACAGGGAUUACCUCAGUAACGGCGAGUGAAGCGGUAACAGCUCAAAUUUGAAAGCUAGCUCUUUUAGGGUUCGCAUUGUAAUUUGUAGAAGAUGCUUCGGGUGUGGCCCCGGUCUAAGUUCCUUGGAACAGGACGUCAUAGAGGGUGAGAAUCCCGUAUGUGACUGGGUGCUUUCGCUCAUGUGAAGCUCUUUCGACGAGUCGAGUUGUUUGGGAAUGCAGCUCAAAAUGGGUGGUAAAUUUCAUCUAAAGCUAAAUAUUGGCCAGAGACCGAUAGCGCACAAGUAGAGUGAUCGAAAGAUGAAAAGCACUUUGGAAAGAGAGUUAAACAGUACGUGAAAUUGUUGAAAGGGAAGCGCUUGCAACCAGACUUGCGCGCUGAUGAUCAUCCGGGCUUCUGCCCGGUGCACUCGUCUGCGCUCAGGCCAGCAUCGGUUUCGGUGGUGGGAUAAAGGCCUUGGGAAUGUAGCUCCUCUCGGGGAGUGUUAUAGCCCUCGGUGCAAUGCCGCCUACCGGGACCGAGGACCGCGCUUCGGCUAGGAUGCUGGCGUAAUGGUUGUAAGCGACCCGUCUUGAAACACGGACCAAGGAGUCUAACAUCUAUGCGAGUGUUUGGGUGUCAAACCCAUACGCGUAAUGAAAGUGAACGGAGGUGAGAACCCUUAAGGGUGCAUCAUCGACCGAUCCUGAUGUCUUCGGAUGGAUUUGAGUAAGAGCAUAGCUGUUGGGACCCGAAAGAUGGUGAACUAUGCGUGAAUAGGGUGAAGCCAGAGGAAACUCUGGUGGAGGCUCGCAGCGGUUCUGACGUGCAAAUCGAUCGUCAAAUUUGCGUAUAGGGCGAAAGACUAAUCG
Molecule: ribosomal RNA, 881 nt
Filed under: Cadophora luteo-olivacea
Lineage: Eukaryota; Fungi; Ascomycota; Leotiomycetes; Helotiales; Ploettnerulaceae
Description: LSU rRNA
Rfam family: Eukaryotic large subunit ribosomal RNA
Source: RNAcentral